Molecule: ribosomal RNA, 697 nt
Filed under: Escherichia coli
Lineage: Bacteria; Pseudomonadati; Pseudomonadota; Gammaproteobacteria; Enterobacterales; Enterobacteriaceae
Description: bacterial SSU rRNA
Rfam family: Bacterial small subunit ribosomal RNA
Source: RNAcentral
CCCUUGAGGCGUGGCUUCCGGAGCUAACGCGUUAAGUCGACCGCCUGGGGAGUACGGCCGCAAGGUUAAAACUCAAAUGAAUUGACGGGGGCCCGCACAAGCGGUGGAGCAUGUGGUUUAAUUCGAUGCAACGCGAAGAACCUUACCUGGUCUUGACAUCCACGGAAGUUUUCAGAGAUGAGAAUGUGCCUUCGGGAACCGUGAGACAGGUGCUGCAUGGCUGUCGUCAGCUCGUGUUGUGAAAUGUUGGGUUAAGUCCCGCAACGAGCGCAACCCUUAUCCUUUGUUGCCAGCGGUCCGGCCGGGAACUCAAAGGAGACUGCCAGUGAUAAACUGGAGGAAGGUGGGGAUGACGUCAAGUCAUCAUGGCCCUUACGACCAGGGCUACACACGUGCUACAAUGGCGCAUACAAAGAGAAGCGACCUCGCGAGAGCAAGCGGACCUCAUAAAGUGCGUCGUAGUCCGGAUUGGAGUCUGCAACUCGACUCCAUGAAGUCGGAAUCGCUAGUAAUCGUGGAUCAGAAUGCCACGGUGAAUACGUUCCCGGGCCUUGUACACACCGCCCGUCACACCAUGGGAGUGGGUUGCAAAAGAAGUAGGUAGCUUAACCUUCGGGAGGGCGCUUACCACUUUGUGAUUCAUGACUGGGGUGAAGUCGUAACAAGGUAACCGUAGGGGAACCUGCGGUUGGAUCAC